This 1707-nucleotide long non-coding RNA is filed under the name Lathyrus oleraceus (garden pea). RNAcentral's name for it is "Pisum sativum (pea) long non-coding RNA (PSAT_LNC018763)". The record is from RNAcentral. Lineage: Eukaryota; Viridiplantae; Streptophyta; Magnoliopsida; Fabales; Fabaceae.
GGAACUAAAAUGAAAAAGUGAACAAAAGAUGAAUCCAAACUGAAUCACAAUAAUAUGAGUCAUUACAUUCCUUCAAAGUUCUAAGUCAACAUUACACACAUCCAUAUCAUCACAUCUCAUACAUAUAAGUUAUCACAACCACAAGACAAAAUUUAAAAUUAAGUGAAAAAUGAACAAAAUUCAAAUGGAAAUAAAUUUUGUUUUAUUGAAUUGAGAAAACAUGCAGUUUACAUAAAAGUAGAACCAUUGCUUACAUACAUCCUUGAUUUCUACACAUACAUACAUCAUAUAAGUCACACUUUCAUUCACCAGACUCAUGCAAUUCACCCUGCACACGAGUUUCUCCUCACCAUCACAUCGCCCGCCCCCCCCCAAAAAAAAAUCACUCACAUUUUACAUCAAUUCCCUCAUACACUCACCAUCCAAAAUACCCCCCACACGAGUUUCCCCUCCUAUAAAACCAUGCCUUGGCUCACUGAGUGUACACACAUUAUGAAACCUUGAAACUCUCUACAAAAAUCUCCACAACUAGUGCAAUUCAAAACUUUCCCACCCUUUCACCAAAGCUCAUCUUCAUAAAUCUUUUAGAGUUUCACGUUGAAGCUCCAAAAGUUUAAGCUCAUAACCUGCAUCAAUCACAAUUUCUAGAAGUUGAAGAAGGAGACGAAGAAGUUGAAGAAGGAGAAGUAUUAGGGAACGUAACAAGAGAAGGAGAGGGUUAGAGUAAAGCUUACAUGCCUAAAGGUGAUUACGUGUUGGAGUUCUUGCUAGAACUUUGAAAAUUCCAGAUUCGAGUGAGGUGUUUUUCUUCUAUUCCCUUUGAUUUUUCAUGUUGAUUUACGUUUCUCCUUGCAUAUUUACUAUUUUCCUUCUUUCAAUUGAUGUAAACCGGUUUCAAUUUGACAAAAUAAUGGAUUUGGGGAAUUUAGGGUUUCGGUUGUGAUAAGGGUGAUUUGUGUUUGUUUUGAUUUGUUUGAUGGUUUUAAUGUUUGAUUCAUGACCAGGGGAGAAAGUUGAGAGGGGUUCGUGUUUGCAACUUUUGAUUUCAAUGUAUUUUGGUAAAAUCUGGAAAAUGGGAUGAACAUGUUCUUCAUUAUUCAUCUUUUUUCCAUGUUUGAUCAAAAAAAUGUUUGAAAUGUGAAGUGAACUCGUGUUUGCUUCCUGAGAGAGUAGAGAGAGAAUAAAAUGAGGAGAGAGAGAGGAGUUGGAAAAUGAGAGGUACGCUCUCGUCCCCCUCUUUUGUGAUAUCUCUCAUCAGCUUCCGUAAAGACAUGUGGCAUCCUUGUAUCCCUUGGAUCUUAUGACUUUUGCCUUGACUAGGGGUCCAUGUACAAGGACCCCACCUUAAUACCAUGCUCCUUUAUUUGCAUGCCCUUGGAUCACGCUGAUCAUCCCUAGUGUUCUAAUCCAACGAAUCAGAAUUGAAUCAAUUUCUUUGACUCUCUUGACCUUGGACUAGGCCAAGCACCCUUGGGCCUUCUGACCCUAGGCCUAGAUGAUUUCCACACCUUUUUUUUGUUAUUUGCUGCAUUUAUUAUUAUUACUUGUAUUGUAUUUUUUUGCUUUCCUUAGGCGGUCAUUUACCCCACUUUCUUUUUACUUUACUUAUCAUUCCGAUUGAUUGCAUGCACACCCUUCCCUUUCUUUGUUUUUUAUAAUUAUUUUAUCAUAUUAUUUUAUUUUCAUUAUUUGGUCAAUUAACUCAUU